UUCACGCAGGCUCUGGCUAUAAUAAGCAGAUAUGCAUCCUUCUACCCAUUCCACUGUUCCUUUUCGCUGGGAAACCACUUUUUAAUUUGUUGUGUGAGUGACUGGUGAGCCCCUCCGCCGAUCCCAUCCCGCGAGCCACUGCAGCAGAUGUCUCUUGACCUCACCUUCCAGGCAACAAGUCCACAGAUGGCCGAGGCCUGGAAAAAAUCAGAAUGUGACAUCGAAGUUCUUGGCGUUUCCAGGUUACAUCUUUUGAAAAGUAGAUGUACCGUCUCUAUGCUCUUCUCCUGACUGGAUAUAUAAUAGGAAGACCCUUGGGGAUGUCCAGCAACCAGAUGGAAGGAGCUUGGUUCCUGAAUGGAGGAAAGCUUCCUGUUGGCCUGCGAUAAUUCUCAGUGGACUGGUAGGUGUUUAUCCGUGUUACAAAAUACCAGCCAGGUGGGGUCUUAAGUGGGGAGCUGUGAAUGAAUGCCAGGAGCUGUGCUUCAUGGGAGACGGAAGUGGCUCAG
Neogale vison (American mink) is the source of this 509-nucleotide long non-coding RNA. RefSeq lists it as uncharacterized. The transcript has 4 exons. NCBI's taxonomy places the organism in Eukaryota, Metazoa, Chordata, Mammalia, Carnivora, Mustelidae. The record is from RefSeq and is a predicted model, not a curated record.